CCUACGGGAGGCAGCAGUAGGGAAUCUUCCACAAUGGGCGAAAGCCUGAUGGAGCAACGCCGCGUGGGUGAAGAAGGUCUUCGGAUCGUAAAACCCUGUUGUUAGAGAAGAAAGUGCGUGAGUGUAACUGUUCACGAUUCGACGGUAUCUAACCAGCAGGCCACGGCUAACUACGUGCCAGCAGCCGCGGUAAUACGUAGGUGGCAAGCGUUAUCCGGAUUUAUUGGGCGUAAAGGGAACGCAGGCGGUCUAGUAAGUCUGAUGUGAACUCCUUCGGCUUAACCGGAGUAGUGCAUUGGAAACUGGUAUACUAGAGUACGGAAGAGGUGGGUGGAACUCUAGGUGUAGCGGUGAAAUGCGUAGAGAUAAGGAGGAAUACCAGUGGCGAAGGCGACUCGCUGGACUGUAACUGACGCUGAGGUGCGAAAGCGUGGGGAGCAAACAGGAUUAGAUACCCUUGUAGUC
This 465-nucleotide ribosomal RNA is filed under the name uncultured bacterium. RNAcentral's name for it is "partial 16S ribosomal RNA". It matches the Rfam family "Bacterial small subunit ribosomal RNA", at positions 338 to 795 of the family's 1533-position model. The record is from RNAcentral.